This 256-nucleotide ribosomal RNA is filed under the name uncultured bacterium. RNAcentral's name for it is "partial 16S ribosomal RNA". It matches the Rfam family "Bacterial small subunit ribosomal RNA", at positions 524 to 776 of the family's 1533-position model. The record is from RNAcentral.
UACGUAGGGGGGCAAGCGUUGUCCGGAAUCAUUGGGCGUAAAAGCGCGUGUAGGCGGCUGGCUAAGUCCGCUCUGAAAAGCCCGGGGCUCAACCCCGGGAGGCGGGUGGAUACUGGUCAGCUCGAGUCCGGAAGAGGAGUGUGGAAUUCCUGGUGUAGCGGUGAAAUGCGCAAGAUAUCAGGAAGAACACCGGUGGCGAAGGCGGCUCUCUGGGCCAUUACUGACGCUGAGGAGCGAAAGCGUGGGAGCAAACAGG